This 497-nucleotide ribosomal RNA is filed under the name uncultured bacterium. RNAcentral's name for it is "partial 16S ribosomal RNA". It matches the Rfam family "Bacterial small subunit ribosomal RNA", at positions 28 to 507 of the family's 1533-position model. The record is from RNAcentral.
GAUGAACGCUGGCGGCGUGCCUAAUACAUGCAAGUCGAGCGAACGGACGAGAAGCUUGCUUCUCUGAUGUUAGCGGCGGACGGGUGGGUAACACGUGGAUAACCUACCUAUAAGACUGGGAUAACUUCGGGAAACCGGAGCUAAUACCGGAUGAUAUUUUGAACCGCAUGGUUCAAAAGUGAAAGGCGGUCUUGCUGUCACUUAUAGAUGGAUCCGCGCUGCAUUAGCUAGUUGGUAAGGUAACGGCUUACCAAGGCAACGAUGCAUAGCCGACCUGAGAGGGUGAUCGGCCACACUGGAACUGAGACACGGUCCAGACUCCUACGGGAGGCAGCAGUAGGGAAUCUUCCGCAAUGGGCGAAAGCCUGACGGAGCAACGCCGCGUGAGUGAUGAAGGUCUUCGGAUCGUAAAACUCUGUUAUUAGGGAAGAACAUAUGUGUAAGUAACUGUGCACAUCUUGACGGUACCUAAUCAGAAAGCCACGGCUAACUACGUG